Molecule: long non-coding RNA, 667 nt
Organism: Carcharodon carcharias (great white shark)
Lineage: Eukaryota; Metazoa; Chordata; Chondrichthyes; Lamniformes; Lamnidae
Exons: 2
Source: RefSeq, a predicted model, not a curated record
GAAACAGAGAACAUUCCCAGUCGGAGCCUCGGGCUACUCACUGACUGAGAAUUCCCCUUAAACCAGCUGACGGUGAAUUCCCAAUAUGAAAAUCAGGGGGUGGGAUCAGAUCCUCUCCGGAUCCUUUAUAAAGAGCAGCCUUACCCAGAGUCCCCAGACUUUCAGACCAGACGGGAAUCUCGACGUUGUCAAUUUGACUCACUGUCGGGAAUUUGGUUUUCUGUCUGUGACAGAAAGAGUCCACAUUGGACAGAAUUCCCAGCACACCAAUCGGAUCAGCGGGAAGAGAACUGGGAGAUGUCCCGAGUGACCGUGAUUAACAACUGUGGGCAGACCGUUCAGGUCAGAGUGGAUCACUGUGACAAGACAGAUUUUGAAAUUAGCUCUGAAAAGGGCAGAAAUAAACAGCAGUUAAACCGUUCUAGUGAUUCUGUCAACAUCAGAGCUGAGUUCCAGACUGGAAUUUGGCUGUGUUCAACAUUAUGGAAAGGAGAGAAGACAAUAACUACAGAAAAAAAGAUCACAUUGUCCAGGUCAAACGAGACUGGUAAAAUCGAGAUCAAAGAGGCAAAUUAGGGAUGUGUAAUUCCUGAUCCUGUGCCUCCCCCAGGUCAGGAUAAGAUCAGCCUGUGUCCCAAAAUACAAUAAACAGAUCAAUUAAUCUUCA